GAGAACUUCCCAGCAUUCCUCUUUCCUUAGUUUUGAUUUACUUCUUAAAGAGACCGAGGCUCAAUUGUGACUAGGUGGAGAAAGGGGUUUAAGGAAGAUUAUCAGUGGCGUUAGAAGGUGCUAGAGGAGAAGAUAUGGAGACAUACACAUGGGAGAACACCAUGCAACAAUGGAAGCAGAAAUUGAAGUAUGCAUUUGCAAGCCAAGGAAUGCUAAGGAUUGUUGAUAACACUAAAAGCUAGGAGAGGCAAGGAAAGAUUCUCCCAUAUAGGUUCCAGAGAAAGGACGACCCUACUGAUCUUUAAUUUUAGACUUCUAGCCCCAAGAAUAGAUUUAUAUCAUCAGCUCCCCUGGUUCUGAGACCUUUAAGACUCAGACUGAAUUACACCACUGGCUUCCCUGGGUCUCCAGCUUGCAGAGAGCAGAUUGUGGGACUUCUUUGCUCCAUAAUUAUGUGAACAAAUUCUUCGUAAUAAUAAAUCUUCAUAUCCUAUUAGUUCUGUUUCUCUGGAGAACCUUACUUAUACAGAGUCUGUUUCACUA
Molecule: long non-coding RNA, 543 nt
Organism: Sapajus apella (tufted capuchin)
Lineage: Eukaryota; Metazoa; Chordata; Mammalia; Primates; Cebidae
Exons: 3
Source: RefSeq, a predicted model, not a curated record